GGGGACAUGGUGUAGUCAGGCCAUCAUCUGGGACUCCAGAUGAUUGAUGAAAGGCGCGCUUCUGACCUGUGAUGAAGAUCUGGAGUCCUGAGCAGGGGAGAUCCCAGGACCUGGGUUCAAAUCCCAGUGUCCCCA
Molecule: transfer RNA, 135 nt
Filed under: Methanothermus fervidus DSM 2088
Lineage: Archaea; Methanobacteriati; Methanobacteriota; Methanobacteria; Methanobacteriales; Methanothermaceae
Rfam family: tRNA
About the family: Transfer RNA (tRNA) molecules are approximately 80 nucleotides in length. Their secondary structure includes four short double-helical elements and three loops (D, anti-codon, and T loops).
Source: Rfam by way of RNAcentral